CCGGAGUGGACGCAUCACUGGUGUUCGGGUUGUCAUGCCAAUGGCACUGCCCGGUAGCUAAAUGCGGAAGAGAUAAGUGCUGAAAGCAUCUAAGCACGAAACUUGCCCCGAGAUGAGUUCUCCCUGACUCCUUGAGAGUCCUGAAGGAACGUUGAAGACGACGACGUUGAUAGGCCGGGUGUGUAAGCGCAGCGAUGCGUUGAGCUAACCGGUACUAAUGAACCGUGAGGCUUAACCUU
RNAcentral lists this ribosomal RNA (239 nucleotides) under Escherichia coli. RNAcentral's name for it is "partial 23S ribosomal RNA". It matches the Rfam family "Bacterial large subunit ribosomal RNA", at positions 2692 to 2925 of the family's 2925-position model. RNAcentral also lists the same sequence under 4 other names. The record is from RNAcentral. Lineage: Bacteria; Pseudomonadati; Pseudomonadota; Gammaproteobacteria; Enterobacterales; Enterobacteriaceae.